Molecule: ribosomal RNA, 496 nt
Filed under: uncultured bacterium
Lineage: Bacteria
Description: partial 16S ribosomal RNA
Rfam family: Bacterial small subunit ribosomal RNA
Source: RNAcentral
AUGAACGCUGGCGGCGUGCCUAAUCUCUGCAAGUCGAGCGAACGGACGAGAAGCUUGCUUCUCUGAUGUUAGCGGCGGACGGGUGAGUAACACGUGGAUAACCUACCUAUAAGACUGGGAUAACUUCGGGAAACCGGAGCUAAUACCGGAUAAUAUUUUGAACCGCAUGGUUCAAAAGUGAAAGACGGUCUUGCUGUCACGUAUAGAUGGAUCCGCGCUGCAUUAGCUAGUUGGUAAGGUAACGGCUUACCAAGGCAACGAUGCAUAGCCGACCUGAGAGGGUGAUCGGCCACACUGGAACUGAGACACGGUCCAGACUCCUACGGGAGGCAGCAGUAGGGAAUCUUCCGCAAUGGGCGAAAGCCUGACGGAGCAACGCCGCGUGAGUGAUGAAGGUCUUCGGAUCGUAAAACUCUGUUAUUAGGGAAGAACAUAUGUGUAAGUAACUGUGCACAUCUUGACGGUACCUAAUCAGAAAGCCACGGCUAACUACGUG